Molecule: ribosomal RNA, 268 nt
Filed under: uncultured Acholeplasma sp.
Lineage: Bacteria; Bacillati; Mycoplasmatota; Mollicutes; Acholeplasmatales; Acholeplasmataceae
Description: partial 16S ribosomal RNA
Rfam family: Bacterial small subunit ribosomal RNA
Source: RNAcentral
AGUUACCAUCAUUAAGUUGGGGACUCUAGCGAGACUGCCAGUGAUAAACUGGAGGAAGGUGGGGAUGACGUCAAAUCAUCAUGCCCCUUAUGACCUGGGCUACAAACGUGAUACAAUGGCUGGGACAAAGGGAUGCGAAGCAGUGAUGUGGAGCGAAACCCAUAAAAACAGUCUCAGUUCGGAUUGAAGUCUGCAACUCGACUUCAUGAAGUCGGAAUCGCUAGUAAUCGCGGAUCAGAACGCCGCGGUGAAUACGUUCUCGGGGUUU